UACGUAGGGUGCAAGCGUUGUCCGGAAUUAUUGGGCGUAAAGAGCUCGUAGGCGGCUUGUCGCGUCGGCUGUGAAAACCUAGGGCUCAACCCUGGGCCUGCAGCCGAUACGGGCAAGCUAGAAUUCGGUAGGGGAGACUGGAAUUCCUGGUGUAGCGGUGAAAUGCGCAGAUAUCAGGAGGAACACCGGUGGCGAAGGCGGGUCUCUGGGCCGAUAUUGACGCUGAGGCACGAAAGCCAGGGGAGCAAACGGG
RNAcentral lists this ribosomal RNA (253 nucleotides) under uncultured bacterium. RNAcentral's name for it is "partial 16S ribosomal RNA". It matches the Rfam family "Bacterial small subunit ribosomal RNA", at positions 524 to 776 of the family's 1533-position model. The record is from RNAcentral.